AGGAGUAUAGUUCAAUGGUAGAACGACGGUCUCCAAAACCGUGCGUUGAGGGUUCGAUUCCUUUUACUCCUGCCA
This 75-nucleotide transfer RNA is filed under the name Williamsoniiplasma somnilux. RNAcentral describes it as "Entomoplasma somnilux tRNA-Trp". It matches the Rfam family "tRNA". Rfam says of the family: Transfer RNA (tRNA) molecules are approximately 80 nucleotides in length. Their secondary structure includes four short double-helical elements and three loops (D, anti-codon, and T loops). The record is from RNAcentral. Lineage: Bacteria; Bacillati; Mycoplasmatota; Mollicutes; Entomoplasmatales.